Molecule: ribosomal RNA, 1299 nt
Filed under: Staphylococcus aureus
Lineage: Bacteria; Bacillati; Bacillota; Bacilli; Caryophanales; Staphylococcaceae
Description: partial 23S ribosomal RNA
Rfam family: Bacterial large subunit ribosomal RNA
Source: RNAcentral
GUCUUCGAGUCGUUGAUUUCACACUGCCGAGAAAAACCUCUAGAUAGAAAAUAGGUGCCCGUACCGCAAACCGACACAGGUAGUCAAGAUGAGAAUUCUAAGGUGAGCGAGCGAACUCUCGUUAAGGAACUCGGCAAAAUGACCCCGUAACUUCGGGAGAAGGGGUGCUCUUUAGGGUUGACGCCCAGAAGAGCCGCAGUGAAUAGGCCCAAGCGACUGUUUAUCAAAAACACAGGUCUCUGCUAAACCGUAAGGUGAUGUAUAGGGGCUGACGCCUGCCCGGUGCUGGAAGGUUAAGAGGAGUGGUUAGCUUCUGCGAAGCUACGAAUCGAAGCCCCAGUAAACGGCGGCCGUAACUAUAACGGUCCUAAGGUAGCGAAAUUCCUUGUCGGGUAAGUUCCGACCCGCACGAAAGGCGUAACGAUUUGGGCACUGUCUCAACGAGAGACUCGGUGAAAUCAUAGUACCUGUGAAGAUGCAGGUUACCCGCGACAGGACGGAAAGACCCCGUGGAGCUUUACUGUAGCCUGAUAUUGAAAUUCGGCACAGCUUGUACAGGAUAGGUAGGAGCCUUUGAAACGUGAGCGCUAGCUUACGUGGAGGCGCUGGUGGGAUACUACCCUAGCUGUGUUGGCUUUCUAACCCGCACCACUUAUCGUGGUGGGAGACAGUGUCAGGCGGGCAGUUUGACUGGGGCGGUCGCCUCCUAAAAGGUAACGGAGGCGCUCAAAGGUUCCCUCAGAAUGGUUGGAAAUCAUUCAUAGAGUGUAAAGGCAUAAGGGAGCUUGACUGCGAGACCUACAAGUCGAGCAGGGUCGAAAGACGGACUUAGUGAUCCGGUGGUUCCGCAUGGAAGGGCCAUCGCUCAACGGAUAAAAGCUACCCCGGGGAUAACAGGCUUAUCUCCCCCAAGAGUUCACAUCGACGGGGAGGUUUGGCACCUCGAUGUCGGCUCAUCGCAUCCUGGGGCUGUAGUCGGUCCCAAGGGUUGGGCUGUUCGCCCAUUAAAGCGGUACGCGAGCUGGGUUCAGAACGUCGUGAGACAGUUCGGUCCCUAUCCGUCGUGGGCGUAGGAAAUUUGAGAGGAGCUGUCCUUAGUACGAGAGGACCGGGAUGGACAUACCUCUGGUGUACCAGUUGUCGUGCCAACGGCAUAGCUGGGUAGCUAUGUGUGGACGGGAUAAGUGCUGAAAGCAUCUAAGCAUGAAGCCCCCCUCAAGAUGAGAUUUCCCAACUUCGGUUAUAAGAUCCCUCAAAGAUGAUGAGGUUAAUAGGUUCGAGGUGGAAGCAUGGUGACAU